This 61-nucleotide transfer RNA is filed under the name Rhinebothrium sp. 1. RNAcentral's name for it is "tRNA-Lys". Lineage: Eukaryota; Metazoa; Platyhelminthes; Cestoda; Rhinebothriidea; Rhinebothriidae. The record is from RNAcentral.
CUUUGUAUAACUAAGUUAAGUGCUGGAUUCUUACUCCAGCAAUGUGUUUUCACUGCAAGGU